ACAAGUCCCAUAGCUGGCAGUGGGGCUGCAGCAACGAAUCUAAUUUAGAGAUGACUUUUUUCCAGAUUCAGCAAUAUUUUCAACAUAAUUGCAGCACUGUAAGGCCAAGUGUCUUUGGAGAUCUCCAAGCACGCUAAUAUCUGUGUAUGUUUACUGUUAGCACUGCCACUGUGGAAAGUGAAUCCAGCUCUGCAUUUAUGCAGAGCGUGUUUGCCAGCAGAGGAUUUUACCUGCUCCGGAAACCUAGACCUGAAGAAAACCCUCAAAUGCUGUUCCAACAAAUUAAAAUCUUCCCUCUGGAAUGUCUAUAGCUAUUUUUUUCCUUUAAUGUGGAAAAAAAGCAGCAACCACUACAAGGACUAGGAAGUCUGAGAAGAUUUCAACUUGUUGGCAGUGUCGCAGCAGCACCUCCCACCAGCAACAAAGACACAGUUAAGGUUAAAUUUGCAUUAAUGUUUAAAGUUAUUCUAUUCCAUGCUCCACUGUUUGUGAGAUCAGGGUAAUCUCUCUGAGGAUUUCCUGCUUGGGCAUGUGCUAGAUGAGAACUGAUAUUUUGCAAUGCAUGUUCAAUAUUACUGCAUCUGGAGCACAGUUAAAAUGCACGGAGUUUUGGAAAAUGUAGGAAUCGGCCUUUUAUUCAAGCAAAAAAAUAAUAAUUUAAAAAAAAAAAAAGGAGAUCUGUUUUCUCUGGAAUCGGGCCAAGACAGCACAGGGGAGCUGGCACCACAGCCUGCUCCUCCACCUGUUCCCACACCUGGUUUCACAUCUCUCUCUCCCUCCUGCUCUGCUGAAGCCAGUAUGUUCCCAAGGACCACUCUUCCCAUGCCUCCCACCAACCAGGGUACCACCAGCACCUUCUGAUCAUGCCUGCAGCCCAAGGAAAGCAAAACGCAGAUGCUGGACUUCUAAUGAGUGCAAAACACGAUGCUGCCUCUUGCUCACUGCAGCUCCAAAUGAUGCAUGACUGGGAUCGCUGGGACCAAGAGGCUCAAGAUCUCCCUUCCAGACCUCACCUCACCUCCAUCAAUGUCUCCCCUACGAGAUUACAUGUUUUGCCUUCUGGACCAAUCAUGCCAGUGCACAGCUGCCACUCCACAAAGGAGUCUGGGGGUAGUCUGCAGAACUGUACAUACAGAGCAUAAACUGCUCCAUCUUUAAUGUGGAGCAAAAUCCACACACGGCCAAAGCCACACUAACACCCCUUUAGUAUAACUGCUGAGGACACAGCGGGCCCUCACGUGGGGCACAGGUGAGCAUUUGUUGAACAAGAUUUAACAGAGAAGCUCCACUCAUAUCUCUUUGGCUCCUUUAUCAUUUCCAGUGUUGUUCUGUUCCAUGGAAAUAAGCCUGCUGGGAUAAUUUCAUUUAUGCUGUUCGCCAGUAAUGCGGUGCCUCAUUUGCAUCACCAAGGGAUGUAAAUCUGCCCCAAAGAGCCCACGAUCCACCCACAAAAUGCUCUCCUGAGCCAGACAGAAGAAGAGCAGAGGGAAAAGAAAAUGGCUGGGAUGAUGUAGAAUAACAGGAAAAAAUUCCAGAAGUGGAGAAGAAAGAGCAAAAGGGAACAAGAAUAUUCUGCAGUGCUACCUAGCUGAAAAAUGCGAUGGUGCACAAUGCCCACUGCCCUGGGCAAACCUCUAGCCACCGCGCAUUGCUCCUGGCCUCCUGCUGCAUUCACAAUGUGAUGUUAACAAAAGCAUCGAGAAGUGGCCUGUGGAGCUGGGAAGCUGAGUGUCGCAGCUCAUCACAGGGAGAAGAAAAAAAACACCCCAGAGCUCUGACAGCUCAGCUCUGCGUGUCACAUCAGUGUCCAUUGAGGAAAGCAGGCACAGGAGAUGUCUCGGUACAAAAACUGCUCUACACAAAAAACCAAUGGAUGUGGAGAGGGGAAGGAGCUCAGUGGCCAGUGAAGAUAUUUCAGAGGGGAAUGAAAGGUUCCAUUUCAAGUUACAUAGAAGAUUAAAACUAAAAAGGCUGUGUCUAGCUGUGCAGCUACCUGCCAGUGACUGAAAUCCCUUUCCCACUGCAUUCUCCACAGUGUUGGUGGCCUAAGUAUCAUGCAUGUACCUGUGCUGUGAUUAACACACCUCCAGGGGGCUGGGAAGCUCUCAGGUUUGCAGCAGCAGCUAGGAGCAAUGCGUACACUUGAAUGGUGCCACAAAACUUUUGUGGGCCAAGCCUGAUUUCCCAAGGGAGAAAAAGCAUCCUCAGGGCUCAGCUAGGUACGAACAAACUGUUUCAGCAGCAUCUGAGUCCCUCUUUCACACAGAACAACAGUUUGAGUGGGUGCAUCCAAACCUCAGAAAUGCAUGGUCUGUCCUGGACCCAAAGACAGUGCCAUCACUGCUGCCAUACAAGAAGGCUUAUCAUUUCCAUCAGACUUCAGGCAUUCACCACAUAAGAACUCACCACAAAAACUAGGGCUAAUGGAAUGUGUUCAGAACUUCCAGGACCUGGGUAAUGCAGAGAGUUGACUGCAGACUUGGGAAAUUUUCAUCUUUAAGUUGCUGGUUCCUACUCACAACCAUUACGGAGGCAGAUGAUAGCUGAUGGCCAGCGUAGGGUCCAUCUCAUAUACAAUAAACAACUGUGACAUCCCAGGAAAAAGAGCAAGCUUCGAAGAGGCUAUAGACAUGCUGAGCAUAACAAAGACAUGUUGGUAAAAAUAAGUAAUUCUUAAACUGCUGUGUAAGGCAAACAUUAAACCAAUCUCUAAGAGUGACAUUUUAGAAGAUAUUCAUGGAAGCAGCCCUGUAUAUACCACAGUGAUGCUUUGUAUGCUUUCCUAUGUCUCAGAAAGUGGAAACAAUUUUGAGAUCUCAGAUCUCAGAUAUUGUUAAAGUAACAUCUCCUUGAAGUCCCCCCUGAGAUCUUCAAAAGGGCAGAGAGAGAAGGCACUGUAGGCAGUCUACCUCUUCAUCAGCCGUCGUCACUCUCAGUUGAACUGCAUUUCCAAGAGGAAAAGCCAGCAAGGAUUUAAUUCCCAGAAAGUGGGGGACUGACCCUGUCCUCACCCUGCAUCCCACAACAGUGUAAUGGACAUCGGCCACAUCAAGAAGACAACUUGUUGCCCUAUCUCUACAUCUAGGCAGUCAAGGCCUCCAGCUGCUUUUGGAAUGGCGUCUGCAGAGUGCCUAUCUGCAUUAGAGGUCUCAAAUGGUCUUCGCUUCCUCCUGGCCUUGAACAGCAUGCAGUUCAUAUCUUGAAACCUGUGGAAUCCUUCCAUCUUUAUUUGUACAACUGCUGAUUCUAUUUUUAUUCCACGAAAAUUUAAUUCAUACAAAUAUUGUUUGCAAAUAGAAGCAAAGACCUUGUGCACUGGAGAAGCUCCCAGCAGCUCCAGCUUGCACUGCUGCAGUCCCAUUCACACUACUUUGCUAUCCUGGUGCCAUUAUCUGACAGUAACCACCUUACCUCUCCUCCCCAUCCCUUUUCAACAUUCUCUUUCCUCCAGUUAUGCUCAGACCACAGGUAGAUCUAACACAGAUCUAACACAUUUGUUUUGAGAAAGAAAACCUCCCCAGCUCCUCUCCUAACAAUCCUUACUCUCUUUCCAGUCUCUUCAGCCAUCUGCUCAUCCAUAUUGCAUAAUACCAGAGCCAGACCUAGCACCAGUAGAGACUCCUUCAAGAAACAGCCAGCCCAGCACCUUGCUAGGUGACCAAAGGAGAAAAGACUCAACUCCUGCUGCUUUCCUCAUAGGAUUUCUGGGGAGUUGUUCAAAAUGUCCCUUGCCCAGCCCAGCAGUGAGUCAUGGCAGCUCAAUUCAGGCUGAAUUCAAGUACAGUGCAUACUACAAAGUGCAUACAAAGUAUAAUAUAUGGUCUCAGGCAGGACGUGGGAUAUGAAUGGUCUUUAGACAUGCGCAGCACCAGUGCACCCUGGCAUGAAAGCGCAUAUCCUGCAGAGUGUCAUGAGGCCAGAAGAGAGGACACAGAGGACUUACAGCAGCACAAAGCUGAGAGGAAGGCACGAGAGCAGAAAAACAGACACAGGGAGCAUGCCUUUAGAUUCGAAUGGAAAGUUUUGCUGACUGCGCUGAUUACUGCAGAGAUAGACAAGACCUACUUUUAAUUGACUAGGAAAAGAAGCAGAAAUAAGGGUUGGAAAGAAUGAUCUUCUCCAGUGCCUGGACCAGUGUGGGCUGACAGGACCUAGACCAGCUGUCUUGGGACCAAUGCAGUUUUUCAUACCACCUUAUACUGAAAAGACCCCAGCUGGAGUAUGGAGUCCAGCUCAGGCUUCUGCAUGCAGCAAAUGAAAAGAGUUCACAGAAGAGCAGAGAGAACAACUGGACAGCUGGUUUACUCAAGGAAAGGUUGAAGAAACUGGGAUUACCCUAGAGACUAAGAGAAUAUAGGAUGGAAAGUGCAACUGUCAGGCAUAGCAUUUGAGGAUGCAAAAGGUCUAUCUAGAAAGAAAGAGAGAAAAAGAGAUGUGGGGAAAAUGUAUUUUCCACGUCCUCAGAUAUGAGGCUAGAGUUGGACCAAGGUCAAUUUAUUUUAAGAAUUAGGAUCAUCUUUUUAGGGGGUCAGGACAGUGAAGGCCUACAUGACAUUGCCUAGGGAUAUUGUAGAUAUCUCUGCACCAAGAGACCUAUAAGAAUAGGCUGGGAAAAUAUCUGUCAGAAAUGACAUGGAUGCAAGUGGCUCUGCCUUAGGCUGAGAUGACGUUGCAUAGAGCAUUUUUUAGAUCAUGUUAUGCUCAGGUUUCUUAGCUGUACAAGCAAGAGUCAUUGUGCUUAUCUUGGGACAGCAAAAGGAGGAUUCUCCUUUCCAGAUAUAUCAUCCUCUUGAGAGUUGUAGAUGUUGGCCAUCCUUACCACACUCCAUAAACUGAGCUUACCCAUCACCUUGCCUGUCUGCCCGCUCCUGUAACACAGCACACUGCAUUGGCUGCAGCUGUUGGAAGGCAGGCCGGCGCCAGGAAAAAGAGAAAUCUCUUCCAAGUAAAAGCAGGCAAUAAUGGGGACUGUUGACGGUCAGCUACCACAGCAGAGCAGUGGUAUUCUCCUCCAUAAACAUCAGAGCCAACAGAGGAUGAGCAGCAAGGCUAAUUUGAGAGCAGGCUAGUUAGGAGAAGAAAAACCCUUUGCUUACCCGACUUGACCUCAGAACUGUAGAGAACUACGUUAUGUGUGCUGUAGUAUAAACGCUUUCAAUCACCUCCCCUGCCAAACCAUUUGGCCCCAGUGUUCACAUGAGAAAGGCUAUGAAUUAAGGAUGCGAGAAUUUUUUUCACAGAGUUGAGAUCCAUGGCCAUUUUUGUAGCAUCACCAGUUUUAGAAUAUUGUUAAAAAUCUGACAUUUUUUUACAUAUUCCCCCCUACUUCUUUUCACUUUUUCUUGCCAACAAACUGCCAGAUCCUGGCCAAGAACACAGUCAGUGUGCUGAAAUCUAAUGUGAAAAGAUACUCCUGCUUCUAGCUGAAUUCGUAUAAGUAUCUAAACUUCACAAGAGAUGCAGAAAUGUCCCCUCCGGGUGUGGAGGCUGCAAAGAGGCUUCCUGGUCGAGGAUUUGUCUAUGCGGCAGAAGAAACAAGAGACGGGACACAGACCUCCAUGUUUGUCUCUCGUGUUCAAGGUUGGGGAGCCAGACGACAAGGAUGAUUCAUUAUGGCUGCAGAACCAUGUCCUGAAGGGUUCCUUAAGGUGGCUAUUGAGAGUAGUUAGAGCCAGAAAGAUGAGAGACAAGCCACAUCAAUAUCUUUCAUGCCAUAAGUUAUAAAAGCUGGGUAUCCCAGCUUAAGUGACAGAGAGCCCCUUUGCCAGAGCAACAUUCUGCUUUCACUACUCAUUUGAAUAACAGGGGAAAAAUUGGUUGUCAAUACUGAAGAGGCCACAUGCUGAGCCGACAUUUGCUCUCCCUUUAAAACAGAGCAGGGAAGAAAGGGAAACUCAUAUCUAGGUUGCUGGAAUAAUGGAGGGGAAAAGUGACAUCAUUCAGAGAUCCAAGAAAGAGACAGACCUCUGUCUGACCUGGACUGCAGGCUAGAGGUUUUGUGAAUUACCAGCAUCUGAGGACAACACCCUAGCCUUCCUCUAACAGCAGGAUGCUGACAGUUGUAAGGAUCCCUGCACUUGAGCUUGUUGACACAGUUGUGCUGCACUGAGGGAAACACAAAAGAGAAGAGGCAUUGUCAUUCUUCCCAAGCUAGAGGAAUCCAGGUGACAUACAUCCUGUGUCACAACUCUUACUGAGGAGUCUGAGAAAGCUUCUCUGAAAUUAAAAUCAGAGGAGGAUGUAGCUAUGCAUGUGCAUGCUGAAGUUAAGAAGUGCAAGUGUUACACUGCAGCCCUGCAUUUAAAUAUGAUGAAUGGGGCAGAUAAGCAAAAAGAACCCUACUAGAUUAACUGCUUAACAGCUUUUGUGGAAAAAGCUAUUUGUAAGUAUUUCAAAUAGUAUUUGCAGUGUUUUGGUGAGUAUUAAGUACUUACUUACUACAAAACCAUACAAUGUGCUCCCUCUGAAACCUGCUGGGAAGGACUGUUGAUGCAUAUGCUCAGAGCUUAUUUAUUUUGUCUGUGAUUUUUAUUUUACCUUUGCCAUUCCUGACAGUCAUCCAAUCCAUUGUUUGAAUCCUCCAGUGACAGAGAUUGUAUGAGUGCUGCAGGCUAUCAAUUCUGGCAUUGAAUUCCCCCCUCCAGAGCAGGACUAGAGCUGUGAUUUCAUGGCCACCCCAGAGCCCCAGCUCUUCUGACAGCUGCAGCCUGUGCUGCCCCAGAUGCAGAGCAGGGCUCUUGGGUGACCCUGCUGUGCUGUGCAGGGAAUGUGCCACCCACCCAUCAGCCCCUCUGCCACACACACUGCUGGUGAGAAACACAGCUAAGAAAUUUGUAGCAGGCAAAAAUGAGUAGGCUUAAACACAAAGAUAGUUUGGGUUUGGGGAUUAGACAUGAAGAAUAUUGGCUAUAGCAACACAGCUAUCUGCAUCCCAGAAGCCAGGCAUCCACACAUUGCAUUGAUGCUGGCCAGAACAUGUCAGGAUUGGUUUUUCUUCCAUCAAAGACACACUAACCCUAGCCCUGGAGAAGCAGAUGACCCAUCUUGCUCAGCUGCACUGAAGAUACAUACCCAGCUGUGUCUUGAAACACAUCAGUUCUGCAGGGGCAAGCAAAACAGAGACAGACCUGAACACUAGGCUGGCAAAUCCCAGAGUGAUCUGCAGUUGGAAAGCCCUGGAGAAUAUGGAUUGUACAGAGAAGUUUGCAAAGGACCUCACAAGUAGCAUGAACCAGCAAGCAGGUCAAGCAAAGCAGAGGUAGAAGUCUUUAUGGUAGUCCCACCCUCAAGAUUGACUGCAGCCACAGGACAGAGCCAUUACAGCUCCCUCACAUCUCCUAUCCAGCCUCAGCUGCUGGCGAUGCUCUGCUCACCAAUGCCGGGCACACCUCCUGCUGCAGAUUUACUGCUGCUUCUGACAGUCAAUAAAAGCCUGCAAUGCACUA
This is a long non-coding RNA of Centrocercus urophasianus (Greater sage-grouse), 7445 nucleotides long. RefSeq lists it as uncharacterized. NCBI's taxonomy places the organism in Eukaryota, Metazoa, Chordata, Aves, Galliformes, Phasianidae. The transcript has 2 exons. The record is from RefSeq and is a predicted model, not a curated record.